GGGUUUGGUGACAGCGUCAGAGC
RNAcentral lists this microRNA (23 nucleotides) under Petromyzon marinus (sea lamprey). Its description in RNAcentral is "pma-miR-4596". The record is from miRBase by way of RNAcentral. Lineage: Eukaryota; Metazoa; Chordata; Hyperoartia; Petromyzontiformes; Petromyzontidae.